This 731-nucleotide ribosomal RNA is filed under the name uncultured bacterium. RNAcentral describes it as "bacterial SSU rRNA". It matches the Rfam family "Bacterial small subunit ribosomal RNA", at positions 771 to 1501 of the family's 1533-position model. The record is from RNAcentral.
AACAGGAUUAGAUACCCUGGUAGUCCACGCUGUAAACGAUGUCGAUUUGGAGUUUGUGCCAUUAUGAGCGUGGGUUCCGAAGCUAACGCGAUAAAUCGACCGCCUGGGGAGUACGGCCGCAAGGUUAAAACUCAAAUGAAUUGACGGGGGCCCGCACAAGCGGUGGAGCAUGUGGUUUAAUUCGAUGCAACGCGAAGAACCUUACCUGGUCUUGACAUCCACAGAAGUUUCCAGAGAUGGGAAUGUGCUUUCGGGAACUGUGAGACAGGUGCUGCAUGGCUGUCGUCAGCUCGUGUUGUGAAAUGUUGGGUUAAGUCCCGCAACGAGCGCAACCCUUAUUCUUUGUUGCCAGCGGUUAGGCCGGGAACUCAAAGGAGACUGCCAGUGAUAAACUGGAGGAAGGUGGGGAUGACGUCAAGUCAUCAUGGCCCUUACGACCAGGGCUACACACGUGCUACAAUGGCGCAUACAAAGAGAAGCGACCUCGCGAGAGCAAGCGGACCUCAUAAAGUGCGUCGUAGUCCGGAUUGGAGUCUGCAACUCGACUCCAUGAAGUCGGAAUCGCUAGUAAUCGUGGAUCAGAAUGCCACGGUGAAUACGUUCCCGGGCCUUGUACACACCGCCCGUCACACCAUGGGAGUGGGUUGCAAAAGAAGUAGGUAGCUUAACCUUCGGGAGGGCGCUUACCACUUUGUGAUUCAUGACUGGGGUGAAGUCGUAACAAGGUAACC